RNAcentral lists this ribosomal RNA (281 nucleotides) under uncultured bacterium. Its description in RNAcentral is "partial 16S ribosomal RNA". It matches the Rfam family "Bacterial small subunit ribosomal RNA", at positions 334 to 612 of the family's 1533-position model. The record is from RNAcentral.
UAUUCCUACGGGACGCAGCAGUGAGGAAUAUUGGUCAAUGGGCGAGAGCCUGAACCAGCCAAGUCGCGUGAGGGAAGACGGUCCUAUGGAUUGUAAACCUCUUUUGCCGGGGAGCAAAAAGCGGUACGUGUACCGCAUCGAGAGUACCCGGAGAAAAAGCAUCGGCUAACUCCGUGCCAGCAGCCGCGGUAAUACGGAGGAUGCGAGCGUUAUCCGGAUUUAUUGGGUUUAAAGGGUGCGCAGGCGGCGAGUUAAGUCAGCGUGACAAUUUCGGGGGUCAA